UCCCAGGUUAGGGGGAGGUUAGGGAUUCGCUAACAUGUUUAACCCCGCCACAUUAUUUAUGUAUGUGCCUGUCCCAAGUCAGGAGCCUGUAAUUCAGUGGUUGUCGUUUGUUUAUGUGUUACAUAUUUGUUUUUCGUUCAUUUUUUUUUACAUAAAUAAGGCCGUUAGUUUUCUCGUUUGAAUUGUUUUACAUUGUCUUAUCGGGGCCUUUUAUAGCUGACUAUGCGGUAUGGGCUUUGCUCAUUGUUGAAGGCCGUACGGUGACCUAUAGUUGUUAAUGUCUGUUUCAUUUUGGUCUUUUUUGGAUACUUGUCUCAUUGGCAAUCAUACCACAUCUUCUUUUUUAUAUAAUC
This 353-nucleotide long non-coding RNA is filed under the name Mytilus galloprovincialis (Mediterranean mussel). The record is from RNAcentral. Lineage: Eukaryota; Metazoa; Mollusca; Bivalvia; Mytilida; Mytilidae.